Molecule: small RNA, 187 nt
Filed under: Streptomyces oceani
Lineage: Bacteria; Bacillati; Actinomycetota; Actinomycetes; Kitasatosporales; Streptomycetaceae
Description: c-di-AMP sequence
Rfam family: c-di-AMP riboswitch aptamer (ydaO/yuaA leader)
About the family: This family represents a conserved RNA structure found upstream of the ydaO and yuaA genes in Bacillus subtilis and related genes in other bacteria. The ydaO/yuaA element is thought to act as a genetic "off" switch for the ydaO and yuaA genes in its native state.
Source: RNAcentral
CGUGCGCUAUCGCCUAAUCCCGUACGUGCAGCAUCGUGCGUGGCACAACUCGAUACCACUGCACCGAGGGAGCCGGGGAACCACUACUUGGGGUGAAUCGGACUCGUCCCGCCCAUGGACGCGCCCGUAGGAGACCUUCCUGCUCCGAACCCGUCAGCUAACCCGGUAGGCGAGAAGGAAGGAAGGA